GAUGAAGAACGCAGCGAAAUGCGAUAAGUAAUGUGAAUUGCAGAAUUCAGUGAAUCAUCGAAUCUUUGAACGCACAUUGCGCCCGCCAGUAUUCUGGAGGGCAUGCCUGUUCGAGCGUCAUUUCAACCAUCAAGCCCCAGGCUUGUGUUGGGGACCUGCGGCUGCCGCAGGCCCUGAAAACCAGUGGCGGGCUCGCUGUCACACCGGGCGUAGUAGAUUUUAUCUCGCUCAGGGCGUGCUGCGGGUUCCGGCCGUUAAAAAGCCUUUUUUACCCAAGGUUGACCUCGGAUCAGGUAGGAAGACCCGCUGAACUUAAGCAUAUCAAUAAGCGGAGGA
RNAcentral lists this unclassified non-coding RNA (336 nucleotides) under soil metagenome. RNAcentral's name for it is "partial contains 5.8S ribosomal RNA, internal transcribed spacer 2, and large subunit ribosomal RNA". The stretch from base 1 to 120 matches the Rfam family "5.8S ribosomal RNA", at positions 35 to 154 of the family's 154-position model. The record is from RNAcentral.